CUGUUUUGAAAGAACUUGGUUAACUUUUACAAAACAUAACUUUUCCUACUUGAAUCUUGUAUCUAGCAAUCUCUUAAACCCAUCAAUGGUUGUGGAACUUGUUAGAGUCAAUUCUUACAAAGUUUAGAGGUGCAAACCACCUCUAAACUUUCUGAUUUAUUAGGAUUCAAUACAACCCACAAGUGUUGAAAUCACAUAAGUUUGCCAUAGUUCAUAAGGGUGACCUCGGUAUUCCAUCCUCCAACUUACAACUUUUCACGGGAUUCAAAGGAAGGCUUUGCAAAACCGUUGAUGAUGAUGGGCAUGAUGAAAUCUAGUAGGGAUGACUUUAGAAACUCGUAAUAAAAUGCUAGAUUUGUUAUCUUAUUUUGAUUAAACUUGUUGUAUUUUGAAUUUCCAAAUGCUGUACUUUGAUUUCCAUGUUGUACUUGACAAUUUUCGUUAUGAAAUGAA
Molecule: long non-coding RNA, 453 nt
Organism: Helianthus annuus (common sunflower)
Lineage: Eukaryota; Viridiplantae; Streptophyta; Magnoliopsida; Asterales; Asteraceae
Exons: 3
Source: RefSeq, a predicted model, not a curated record